RNAcentral lists this transfer RNA (82 nucleotides) under Teleaulax amphioxeia. RNAcentral describes it as "tRNA-Leu". The record is from RNAcentral. Lineage: Eukaryota; Cryptophyceae; Pyrenomonadales; Geminigeraceae.
UGAACGAAAAGGGACUUGAACCCUUACGACAUUUUGUCAGCACAUUUUGAGUGUGCCGCGUCUACCAUUCCGCCAUUCGUCC